GCUGUGUGAAUGUAGAGCACAUACGCAGCGUUGCCAGAUUAUCGUACUCACCGCAUUGUAUUUAUCAUUUUUAAGCCUCAGACACUCGUACAUUCACAAAUAACGAUAGAAAAAUAAAGUUAAGGUUAAAACUGUUACUUAUCGAUGUUUUUAUUUUGCCAUAGUUAUCGGUCAGACACUACGAAAAUGCAAUGCGAUGAGUACGAUAAUUUGGCAAGGCUGCCCAUACGGUUCCCGGUGUGCUCCAAAGCCGUCCUCCUGGGUUCUUGCAGUAUAUAUCAAGGGAGUGUUUUGUCUCCACUUGCGCUCUUCUAAUCUUCUCUUAUAGACGGUUUUUAAGUGAGAAUACGUAUGUCUCACCUAUUUUUUUUCUUUUUUUUACAAUAAAGGAAGGGGAAAAAAAGCCAGCUAUGCGCUGCUCCUGCAAAGAAAAUAGAGCGAGAGGCCAAAUGGACACCUCACUGUAUAGAUGAGCCGAAAAGCAAGUCAAGGAAAAUUCUGGGUGUGCUGCUGGGCAAUACUUUGUUUUUGUUUCACCUUCCUCCAUGCAUUCUUGUUAUUGAAUGUACUGGGCGCACGUAUGUCACUCGCGAGAAGAAAUAUCAAUGCUCAUACAUCUCGAUAUGUAGCGAGGAAUUUAUUGGCACGCUGUAAGUGAGUGUUCCUCUGUAUCACCUUUCUCAGUCCUUCCUUUGUUGUACACCGUUGUAUAAAGGUGAAUAAAUCCCUCAAGAAAACUCUAUAAUGUAAUACGGGGGACUGGGCAACGUUCAUGUGGCUAAAUUUCAACCUUCUCGUCUACCUGGAGGUAAUCACUGGCUCUCGCUCCCCUCACAGAGAAUAAGUGAUCAGAUGAGUGAUGAAGCUGCUGCCAAACAGGCUUUCUUUUGGCGGUGAUAUUACGUGGCUUCCUUUGACGUGUGUUGGAAAUAUGAUUGUGUACGCAGCAGCCCUGGCCAGCCAUGCAUGAUUUACUAAUCGGAAGAAUAACUUUAAAAAAUACAGCGAUCGUGUAACAGAUGAAAAAGACUAAAUUUUGACAAAGAUUCAGUUAAAAAAAAAUCUUACAGUUACAAGGUUUGAAUAAAAGAUAAUAAAUUGACAAUGUUCGUGCAAGAAUGUUUAAAUGUACAAGGUUCGAGUAAAAACUGGAAAAAAAAUCAUGGUUCGAUUAGAAAUAAAAAAAAAAGGUUCAAGUAACCAAGAAAAUAAUUUGACAAGGUUCAGUAAAUCAGUGGCCUACUUUGAAUUUACAAGGUUCAGGAAGAAAAGUUAUUUGAAUUUACAAGAUUCAAAAAUUAAUUACCUGAAAUUUAGAGGUUGAGGACAAAAGAGUUGAAAAUAAUAAAGGUCAGGAAAAAAGGAGGUACAUUUACAAGGUCACGAGUAGAUAAAUUUACAAGGUCACGAAAAAGUGGAUAGAUUUACAAGGUCACGAAAAAGUGGAUAGAUUUACAAGGUCACAAAAAAGUGGAUAGAUUUACAAGGUCACAAAAAAGUGGAUAGAUUUACAAGAUCACAAAAAAGUGGAUAGAUUAACAAGAUCACAAAAAAGUGGAUAGAUUUACAAGGUCACGAAAAGUGGAUAGAUUUACAAGAUCACAAAAAAGUGGAUAGAUUUACAAGGUCACAAAAAAGUGGAUAGAUUUACAAGGUCACAAAAAAGUGGUUAGAUUUACAAGGUCACGAAAAAGUGGAUAGAUUUACAAGGUCACAAGGAGAUCAAUUUCAAAGUUCAGGAAAAAAGUAGAUACAUUUGCAAGGUCACAAGUAGAUAAACUUACGAGAUCACGAAAAUAAUAGAUGCAUUUGCAAGAUCACAAGGAGAUAAAUUUAAAAGGUCACGAAAAAGUAUAUAAAUCUGAAAUGAGUAUGAAAAUGGAAGCUGAAUAGACAACGUUCAUCCGCCAGUCAUUACCAAGAAAUUACAAAAAAAAAAAAAAGGAGAAAUUACACAGAUAAAGGAAUCUUGGCUUGUGGAUUUGGCGUUAGUUAAAAAAAAAAAAAAAUAGAGUAAACUAAAGAGAAAAAACUAAACAAACACCAGGCAAUAAUUUAAGGAAGUUUCUGUAAGUUCGUUAGUGGUUCAGGAGAUUGAGAAUUCCUAGCUAAUACGAAUCAUGGCUGGAGAAUUCUUCGUUGGAUUAAAAAACGAGAGCAGUGGUAUAGCUUGUUACUUAAGGCAAGGCUACGUUCAAGAAUUCACCACAACAAAACUAAUAAAUUCUUGGUGAGGUACGAGCACACCUCACGUCUCUUUCUAGUGCUCUCUGAUAUCUUUGUUUUCCCGUUCUCUAACCAUUCCUUCCUUCCCCCAGUUCGACAUAUAUUCAACAGACCCUUAAGUUUCAUCACUAUACUUUUUUCAUGCAUUUCCGCUUACAUGUAAUUCCCCAGUACUUUAUCUCAGUUUAAUUAUUGUUCGGAUCCUUCCCCCAUUCCGAGAUGUAUUCGUUUAACAUUCUCCCUCCUUCAAGUUUCAUCAAGUCACUUUUUUUCAUGCAUUUCCACUUACAUGUAACAGUUCAGUAUAGCAUCUCAUUUUGUAUUUAUUGUUGAGAUCUUUCAUCGUUUCCGAGAUAUCUUUGUAGAUGGACCCACUCCCUUUUGUUUCUCCUCAAGAUAAUUUACUUUUAUGAUAUCCCACCAGUUCAUUAUUCCUCAACAUUUCUUCGUCAACUCUACUCUAUUCAGGAGCAGUAAG
Molecule: long non-coding RNA, 2704 nt
Organism: Eriocheir sinensis (Chinese mitten crab)
Lineage: Eukaryota; Metazoa; Arthropoda; Malacostraca; Decapoda; Varunidae
Exons: 3
Source: RefSeq, a predicted model, not a curated record